RNAcentral lists this ribosomal RNA (892 nucleotides) under Sporisorium consanguineum. Its description in RNAcentral is "partial 18S ribosomal RNA". It matches the Rfam family "Eukaryotic small subunit ribosomal RNA", at positions 1253 to 1738 of the family's 1831-position model. Lineage: Eukaryota; Fungi; Basidiomycota; Ustilaginomycetes; Ustilaginales; Ustilaginaceae. The record is from RNAcentral.
GGCGCUUUCAUGAUUCUAUGGGUGGUGGUGCAUGGCCGUUCUUAGUUGGUGGAGUGAUUUGUCUGGUUAAUUCCGAUAACGAACGAGACCUUGACCUGCUAAAUAGACGGGUUGACAUUUUGUUGGCCCCUUAUGUCUUCUUAGAGGGACAAUCGACCGUCUAGGUGAUGGAGGCAAAAGGCAAUAACAGGUUAACCUACACAGGCCUGUAAAAGCGAUGCCAUAAUUCGCUAGUCUAGCAUCUUUAUCUCUGUAGGGAAAGUUCCCAACUGUCGGGCAGAGGAUUUUUCAAUUUUGCGAUUGGAAAAAGUGAUGUAGGCGACACUACCUGGUACAGGGAACGCCGGAGCAGUAACAUGCUUGGCCGAUCCUGUGGCGAGCUCGAGUAACGUCGAGCCGUCGCAACGCGCGGAAAGGAGUGGGUUGCAGAUAUUAAUCUGUGGCUUAAGGUACGUGCUAAUCCCCAAGGUAACUUGGCUCUUGUGAAUAGGCCCGACAGGCCGAAGCACAGGGGGGUGUCCACACGGACACUGGCAGUCGUUACAAGUCGAAUUACAUUACAAAAGUACAAAAAUAUUCCUUGUGAUCUUUGACUUGGACGGCUGAAACAUGCUGUGAUGCCCUUAGAUGUUCCGGGCUGCACGCGCGCUACACUGACAGAGACAACGAGUGGGGCCCCUUGUCCGAAAUGACUGGGUAAACUUGUGAAACUUUGUCGUGCUGGGGAUGGAGCUUUGUAAUUUUUGCUCUUCAACGAGGAAUUCCUAGUAAGCGCAAGUCAUCAGCUUGCGUUGACUACGUCCCUGCCCUUUGUACACACCGCCCGUCGCUACUACCGAUUGAAUGGCUUAGUGAGGACUUGGGAGAGUACAUCGGGGAGCCAGCAAUGGCA